AGAGUUUGAUCAUGGCUSAGAUUGAACGCUGGCGGCGUGCCUUACACAUGCAAGUCGAACGUGAAAGUUCCUUCGGGAAUGAGUAAAGUGGCGCACGGGUGAGUAACGCGUGGAUAAUCUACCGGGAAGUUGGGAAUAACGGCUGGAAACGGUCGCUAAUACCGAAUACGCUGCAUAUUUAUCUAUGUAGGAAAGGGGGCCUCUGCAUAUGCUUCCGCUUUUCGAUGAGUCCGCGUACCAUUAGCUAGUUGGUGGGGUAAAGGCCUACCAAGGCGACGAUGGUUAACUGGUCUGAGAGGAUGAUCAGUCACACUGGAACUGGAACACGGUCCAGACUCCUACGGGAGGCAGCAGUGGGGAAUAUUGCGCAAUGGGCGAAAGCCUGACGCAGCGACGCCGCGUGAGGGAUGAAGGUCUUCGGAUCGUAAACCUCUGUCAGUAGGGAAGAACGGUCAGCGUGCUAAUCAGCGCUGAAUUGACGGUACCUACAAAGGAAGCACCGGCUAACUCCGUGCCAGCAGCCGCGGUAAUACGGAGGGUGCGAGCGUUAAUCGGAAUUACUGGGCGUAAAGCGCUCGUAGGCGGUAUGUCAAGUCAAGGGUGAAAUCCCCGCGCUCAACGUGGGAACUGCCUUUGAAACUGGCAAACUAGAGUGUGUGAGAGGAUAGUGGAAUUCCAAGUGUAGGAGUGAAAUCCGUAGAUAUUUGGAGGAACAUCAGUGGCGAAGGCGACUAUCUGGCACAUAACUGACGCUGAGGAGCGAAAGCGUGGGUAGCAAACAGGAUUAGAUACCCUGGUAGU
This 801-nucleotide ribosomal RNA is filed under the name uncultured bacterium. RNAcentral's name for it is "bacterial SSU rRNA". It matches the Rfam family "Bacterial small subunit ribosomal RNA", at positions 8 to 794 of the family's 1533-position model. The record is from RNAcentral.